AGAAAAACAUCAUCAUCAAAAGAUUUGCUUCAGUCUGUUUCAUAUAUCCAUCCUCUACCUGCAGAAGAGCAUGUCCACCAGAAGCUCCAACAGCAUGGACGCCGUGAGGAGGAUGCGGGCGAAACGUUCCUGCCGCCUUGGAUGGAGAAGCUGGACCACCUCGCUCAGGGCGUGCUGGGCUUCUUGUUGCAAGCCUUCGAUGAACAGUGAUGCCUUUAGAUCAGGGAUGUCUGUUGAAUAAGGAUCUUCUUCAGCAUGCUGUCGGCCGGUACGUCCUCCACCUCAAAGUCCACAUGCUCCUGAGCCAGACCCAGGAUGAAGAGCGGCACCCAACAGUUUUUGAGGAGUAUAAACUGGUCAUUGGGUGGAAGCUGCUUGAAAGCAGGUAAAUUCUUCAUAAAAUGGACCGUUUUCACCAAAACCGACGAGGCUUCCUUGCAAAUUUCUGUCGGCCUUUUCAAGCACACCGUCCGGCGUAGCUCACAAGUGCAUCGGUGAGGUAUCGAAUUAUAAUCACUGCUGUCAUCGAGUUGACUGAGAAUUUUGAAGAGGAUAGGAUUCAGAACUCUAUCGCUGCAGCACUGGCAUCGGUUAUCCAUCACGGAGAAGUUCUUCAGGAGUGAGGCGCUCUCGCCUCCGCCACGUCGGUAUUUAUAAGGCCGCCCGAAUGGACCUUGACUUGUCAAUACGCUCUCUGUGAAAAACAGCCAUAUGCUCUGCCAGGUGACUGGUGGUAUAACUCGGAGAAACUGAUAAGCUUUUCUCAAUGAAAAAGAAGCUGGUGGAGUAACGUCGGAAAAUCAAGAGGGCUGGGCCUUAUCUCGGGGUCCGUGUCAUUAACCCAGGCCGUACCAUGCUACCAAGGACUCCGAGGGUAAUCAGGUCUGAUGGGUCCCCGUGGACACACUGCCAGAUCAUACUUGGCCAACAGAGCAGUGGGGCACUGACCCAGAAGUUAAGUACUCAGUAUGAUGUCAUUUGUAUAUUUUUGUAAUAGUUUGAGGAAACCUUCGGAGACCUACAAACCAACCUUUAGUGGCAAAUUUAAUUUGGAAUGGUCUCAAACCUGAAGCCCAGGGGACAUUUGUGGCCCACAGGAUGAUAUUUUGCAGUCCCCUAUGUGAGAUAAAAAAUAAUGUUGGUUAUUUUAGUCACUACUACAGGCCAGGAUCUAGUUAUAAUUAGUUGUUCUGAAUAAAUAAGAACUUAUAGGAAAAUAAAAUAAUUAAAACAUUAUUUAAAUAAAACAAAAAAUAUUUCUUGAUUUUAGUUAAAGUUAGAACCCCCCACUUGAUAUUAAUUGGAAUAAAUGAUCUGGUUUUUAAAGCAGAAUCAUGGUGCCUUACUGCCUGAGUACAUUGUGAAGAAGUUAAAAAGGUAUUCCUUUUACUUAAAAAUGAUUGAAAUGUCAUAAUUUCCUCUUCGCAAUAAUUUGAAAAUGCAUCAAUGAUUAAACCUAAAGCCAAGACAAUCAUUGUGUUAAUGGCACACUUGUUCUGUUCUGAAGGGUGAAACUAAUCAAUUCAAUCUAAGGAAUUUCAAUUUAUGCUGUCACUUGGUGUUCCAGGUUGUACUUUUUUUUUUUUUAAGGUAAGCCCAUAAUGUUAUCUCCGCUGUGCCUGGCACGGAGGCUUGACGCUGAUAAGAAGAUUGCUUUAUUAUUAUCCCAAAUAAACAAACAACGC
Long non-coding RNA from Syngnathus acus (greater pipefish), 1685 nucleotides. RefSeq lists it as uncharacterized. NCBI's taxonomy places the organism in Eukaryota, Metazoa, Chordata, Actinopteri, Syngnathiformes, Syngnathidae. The record is from RefSeq and is a predicted model, not a curated record. The transcript has 3 exons.